This is a long non-coding RNA of Lolium perenne, 719 nucleotides long. RefSeq lists it as uncharacterized. The record is from RefSeq and is a predicted model, not a curated record. NCBI's taxonomy places the organism in Eukaryota, Viridiplantae, Streptophyta, Magnoliopsida, Poales, Poaceae.
GUCGUUCCAGCGCACGCCGGCGCUGCUCUGCAUCGACCUAGCCCGCUCAUGCGCCUCCGCUUCCGCGGCAGCCGCUCGUCACCGUCGGCCUCCCCAGCUGCUACCCAUCGCCAAGAACGCUGGCCGCCUCCGUCACGGACAUCAUCGGCGCGACGGCCAGGCCCCAUGCUCCUCGCGCCCCUGCACCACGACGCCGCUCUGCCCAUCGACGACCACCUCGACCUCCGUCCCCUCAAAAGGCCAGCCCGCCUCUGUUCCAUCCAUGUACGUCAAGAACGUCGUCGUCUACGUACGUCCGGCCGUCACGCGCUGGUCGCUGCAAGAUCGCCGCCAUUCUCCUCUCGUUUCCGUCCGCGUCGGUCACCUCUGGUUGCGCCAUCGAUUGUUCAUGAAGACGAGCUCCUUUUCCUUCACAUGAUCUGCAGUGCAACUUGAUUGCAAGCCGGCGCCAAGCACGCUCGCCAUGAUCUCCAGAACAUCGCCGUCGGAUGCGUCUCACCGGUCUCCGUCUUCAUCCGCAUCGCUCAGGUCCAAGGCACGUCCUUGCCGUUUCAAAAUCGUCGCGUUUCCUUCACAGCAAGAAAACACAUCAGCAACGCAGUGGAUUCCUAGAUCAGAAACAUCAGCGCCAGUCAGCCUCCCUUGGCCCAGCCGAUCAGCAACCCGGGCUGGAUUCACCACGGUGAGAAACGUCUCAACGUUUCUCUGUUUUUCCUGAA